CCUACGGGGGGCAGCAGUGGGGAAUAUUGCACAAUGGGGGAAACCCUGAUGCAGCGACGCCGCGUGAGUGAAGAAGUAUUUCGGUAUGUAAAGCUCUAUCAGCAGGGAAGAAAAAAGACGGUACCUGACUAAGAAGCCCCGGCUAACUACGUGCCAGCAGCCGCGGUAAUACGUAGGGGGCAAGCGUUAUCCGGAUUUACUGGGUGUAAAGGGAGCGUAGACGGCGCGGCAAGUCUGAAGUGAAAGGCAGGGGCUUAACCCCUGAACUGCUUUGGAAACUGCCAUGCUAGAGUGCUGGAGAGGUA
RNAcentral lists this ribosomal RNA (305 nucleotides) under uncultured bacterium. RNAcentral's name for it is "bacterial SSU rRNA". It matches the Rfam family "Bacterial small subunit ribosomal RNA", at positions 338 to 659 of the family's 1533-position model. The record is from RNAcentral.